GUUGUAUAGUUAAGUGACUAAGCGUACAAGGUGGAUGCCUUGGCAAUCAGAGGCGAAGAAGGACGUGCUAAUCUGCGAAAAGCUUGGAUGAGUCGAUAAGAGGCGCUUAAUCCAAGAUAUCCGAAUGGGGAAACCCAGUAGAUGAAGAAUCUACUAUCAACAAGUGAAUUCAUAGCUUGUUGAGGCAAACCGGGAGAACUGAAACAUCUAAGUACCCCGAGGAAAAGAAAUCAACCGAGAUUUCGUCAGUAGCGGCGAGCGAAAGCGAAAGAGCCAGUAAGUGAUAACAGUAUGGUUAGGAGAAUGUGUUGGGAAGCACAAUCAAAGAGGGUGAUAAUCCCGUAUCUAAAAACCAUAUUGUGGUACUAAGCUAACGAGAAGUAGGGCGGGACACGUGAUAUCCUGUUUGAAGAAGGGGGGACCAUCCUCCAAGGCUAAAUACUCCUGAUUGACCGAUAGUGAACCAGUACUGUGAAGGAAAGGCGAAAAGAACCCCGGUGAGGGGAGUGAAAUAGAACCUGAAACCUUGUACGUACAAGCAGUGGGAGCCCCAUCACUUAAUCCGAUUGGAAGGUGAUGAAAAGCAACCGCACUUAAACAAUGGUAAGAGGAGCGAAGCGAGUCAAACCACCCAAAAGAAGCAGUGGGAUUAAGUGAUGGGGUGACUGCGUACCUUUUGUAUAAUGGGUCAGCGACUUAUAUUUUGUAGCGAGGUUAACUGAAUAGGGGAGCCGAAGGGAAACCGAGUCUUAACUGGGCGAGUAGUUGCAAGGUAUAGACCCGAAACCCGGUGAUCUAGCCAUGGGCAGGUUGAAGGUUGGGUAACACUAACUGGAGGACCGAACCGACUAAUGUUGAAAAAUUAGCGGAUGACUUGUGGCUGGGGGUGAAAGGCCAAUCAAACCGGGAGAUAGCUGGUUCUCCCCGAAAUCUAUUUAGGUAGAGCCUUGAGGUGACACCUUUGGGGGUAGAGCACUGUUUCGGCUAGGGGGCCAUCCCGGCUUACCAACCCGAUGCAAACUACGAAUACCAAAGAGUGAUACUCAGGAGACACACGGCGGGUGCUAACGUCCGUCGUGGAGAGGGAAACAACCCAGACCGCCAGCUAAGGUCCCCAAGUCUAUAUUAAGUGGGAAACGAAGUGGGAAGGCUUAGACAGCUAGGAUGUUGGCUUAGAAGCAGCCAUCAUUUAAAGAAAGCGUAAUAGCUCACUAGUCGAGUCGGCCUGCGCGGAAGAUGUAACGGGGCUGAAAUAUAGCACCGAAGCUGCGGCAUCAG
Molecule: ribosomal RNA, 1278 nt
Filed under: Haemophilus influenzae
Lineage: Bacteria; Pseudomonadati; Pseudomonadota; Gammaproteobacteria; Pasteurellales; Pasteurellaceae
Description: bacterial LSU rRNA
Rfam family: Bacterial large subunit ribosomal RNA
Source: RNAcentral